RNAcentral lists this ribosomal RNA (254 nucleotides) under uncultured bacterium. RNAcentral describes it as "partial 16S ribosomal RNA". It matches the Rfam family "Bacterial small subunit ribosomal RNA", at positions 524 to 776 of the family's 1533-position model. The record is from RNAcentral.
UACGUAGGGUCCGAGCGUUGUCCGGAUUUAUUGGGCGUAAAGAGCUCGUAGGCGGCUCGGUAAGUCGGAUGUGAAAACUCGGGGCUCAACCCCGAGACGCCAUCCGAUACUGCUGUGGCUUGAGUCUGGUAGGGGAGAACGGAAUUCCUGGUGUAGCGGUGAAAUGCGCAGAUAUCAGGAAGAACACCAAUGGCGAAAGCAGCUCUCUGGGACGGUACUGACGCUGAGACGCGAAAGCGUGGGGAGCGAACAGG